Hippocampus zosterae (dwarf seahorse) is the source of this 3142-nucleotide long non-coding RNA. RefSeq lists it as uncharacterized. The record is from RefSeq and is a predicted model, not a curated record. The transcript is spliced from 3 exons. NCBI's taxonomy places the organism in Eukaryota, Metazoa, Chordata, Actinopteri, Syngnathiformes, Syngnathidae.
CCCCCCCCCCCCCGCCUUUUUCGAUGGGGAGAUGCUGCACCGAAUGCCACUAUGGCGGCCGACGUUCACACUGCGCCUGCGCAACUCCCGGGGGUCGUGUCACUCUUCCUUCACCCCCCCCCCCCUUUUUUUUUUCCUCUCUGACUUUUCAAGCCUCGCUCUCUCCUUCCUCUUCCUGGCCCCGCCUCCUGUUGCAUCAUCAGUCUCCUCCUACCUCAUUCCCUCUCUCUCUUGCUCUCGCUCUAGCUGGCACUUCUUUUGCGCCCUGUUUCGCUCGUGCCUCUUUCGACUCCAGCCUCGCGCAAGGGGGAAAACUUAGAGUGGUAGAGAAAGAGGGGGAAGGGGAGAAAAGGAGAGCGGGAGAGGGAGGCGAGCAGGCUUUGGGGGCGUGAGGGGUAGUCUGCUGCUAUUUCUACAGUCCGGGCCUCCCCAGCCGCCGUCGCUCUCCCGCCCACCCUUCAUAGGCUGAGUUUUGUUUUUUUUCUCCCCCCUCCGCUCGCCACUCGUUUGGAUUUUAACCCUCUGCCUCCAACUUGCAGCUCUUGCAAAAUAAGCUGGCAACAAGUUGGCCUUUUUCGCGCAGUUUUUUUUUUUUUUUGGGCGCACACAGUUUUUUACCACCACCCCCGAUUCCUGCGCUCUUGGAUCUUGCUGCCUUCGACGCAUGCAUUUUCGAACAUUUUAUUUGCUGGACAAAAAAAAACCAAGACUAUUUUUCUGUAUUUUGUUGAUGUUUUAUGAACAUUUGGAUCAGAAAUGGAGGUUUCUCGCCGCCGCCAUUGCUAGCUGGAUCAGUGGUGGUGGUGGUGGUGGGGGGGGGCGUCUAACCUGCACGCCAUCCUGACGACCACGACGAAGGCAAGGGGGGAAGCGUGGGCCCAUCUUCGACGAGAUCCAGCGUUUGUCCCUCCUCUUCAUCGUCCUCCGCCUCCCGUCUUGCGGCUUCGUUCCGUCCUUUGCGCGCCGCGCAACUCCUGACACGCAGGCGGACGAGCAGCUUUGGGCCGAGCCGAGCCGCCAGAGCGUUUUUCUGGGACGGCUGCCAAGUGCAAAUAAAAGAGGCCAAAAAGCGACGAGGAGUAGAAAGCGUUCGUAACUGUGCAUUUCAGUUUUUUUUGGGGGGGGGGGGGGGAGUAGGAUAGGGGGUGGCUUUUCUUGCAUCAGAAGGCCUUCCUCGUAUGUUGUGUCCAAUUUGUGCACUUCUAGCCGUGUGCGUGUGCUUCGAUUUAGCUGGCCGGGCUGCAGCUUUGAAUACUCUUCGCCGAAGAAGUGAAGGCAUCUCUCGCCAGAGACGAAAGAGUGCGAGAGUACAAACCGUUUUCAUUUUUCACGAGUGGAGCCGUAAGACGGAAGCGGCCCCAGACGGCAUCACGCCGCGUCCGGUUUUUCGCAUGCAUCAGACACUGCGUUUUUAUUUGCCGACGUUCCUCAUUGCUCACAGAAGCCACAUGGCCUCCUAUUGUUUUAGGCCAAACUUGAACUUGAAGCGGAGGGGUGUGGGGGGCUGGGGGGGUGCAGCCAAGGCCCGGAGCUGAGAUUGCGGUUCGGAACCGGGAGAUGGUGGAAGAGGAGAGGAGCAAGACGGGUCGGGGGGGGGACGCAUGGUUCGGCAGUCUCGGAAAAGAGUCGUCGAACUCCGCCGCCCCGGAAGACGGGAGGUUUGAGUCAUAACAUCAGCGAGAGGCCCAAAGCGGCGGAGACAGCCACUGACGCACUUUCGGUCGUGGAGCUGCUGCCGAGCGGCGCUGAGGUUCUACUUCAUGGUGCAGAGGAGGUGAGAAACACAUUGUGUAAGCACAUACCAAGUGAGAAGUCACGAGUACUGCAAUGGCAAAUGGUUUUCGCCGACAAGACCGUUGGGGUGUACGUUUGAGCUGUGCGUCCCUACUGGUUCUGUAUGUGGUCACUGGUCAGUUCGGUCAAAUGGAAUCCAAGGCCUGAAAUAUAUUGUUGACCAUUUCAGAUGCAAGAUGCACGGUCAGACGUUGAACAGAACACGUAGUGAUUUACAAAGUGAAAAAUGUUAUUCUUUGUAUGGUGGAUGCCGAGAUAUAAAUAUAUAAACCACACACGUGCGCACACACGCACGCACGCACACACACACACACACUCACACACAUAUAUAUCACAAUUUUAAUAAUCACGCAGAGGAAAUAGAAAAUGCAGUUUCUAAAUGCCAAAAUACAGUAUGAAAAUAUCAAAAUGAAGAUUUAGUACAGUGAAUUUGCUCGAAUGGAUUAAUAAGAUAAGAUAUCCUUUAUUCGUCCCACACUGGGGAAAUUUACAGCCUCCAGCAGCAAGAAUGUAUGUAGAAAGAAGAAAGGAGAAAGAGAAAAAAAAAACAACAAACAUCUUUCAAUUAAAUACAAUAUGAACACAAAUAGAUAAAUCGCAGUACUAUUUAAUGGCAUUUGCCUCUUGAAAGAAAUGCGAGUCAACCAAGGUAAUCCCACUUGGCUACAUUCGAUCGGUCGCAUUUAGUUUAGACGUGGCCAUUGUUUCAUACGUGGUGUCGAGUAACAUGUUUUUGUGUGUCAAAAGCGGGCAACAGCAGCACAGAUGAGCGGAUGCAGAGAAUAUUUACACACUGUCCUUUGGGGUGAGGUAGUAGGUUGUAUAGUUUUAGGGUCACACCCUUCCUGUUAGAUAACUAUACAACUUACUGUCUUUCCUGAAGUGACUGUAAUGUCGUCUGAUUGGAUCCCCUCCCAGGACCGCCGAUGACGUUUUCUAAGCGGCAGCGCUCCCCAACGGUGUAUCCCUGUAACUGCACUUUGCUUUUCUUUGCACUCGUCGACCUUUGUUCCCUCAGCACGGGAUGUUUUUUUCUUCUUCUUCAUUGCCAUUUGUAUUUGUUUGCAUGCACGUGGUGUGUCUUUGCUCAUGUGAUGUUCCGCAAUGUUCCUGAUGUUCGUACGGGGUGAGGUAGUAGGUUGUGUGGUUUCAGGGUAGUGAUAGUGCCCAAUCAGGAGAUAACUAUACAACCUACUGCCUUCCCUGAAGGGCAGCAAUACGCCACCGGGCAGACUUGACAUUUGCCUCCCCCAAAGGCUGCAACUCUUCAUGAUGAAGUCACCAAACUGUGAGGUUUGUACAAUCGUUUUUUUCCCCCCUGAAAAUGUUAAUAAAAAUUAUGAAAACC